RNAcentral lists this long non-coding RNA (285 nucleotides) under Homo sapiens (human). RNAcentral's name for it is "non-protein coding LINC01170:2". The record is from RNAcentral. Lineage: Eukaryota; Metazoa; Chordata; Mammalia; Primates; Hominidae.
UUACAGAACAGUUUCCCAAGCAGCAGCCUGCCUGAUCCACCCUUAAUUCAGCUGUGCGUCUGACAACAUGUUCUACAGGAAAGAUAACCUUGUACAUCAGGUGUUUCCUGUUUCCAGUACCAAAAGUGUCUUCCUUUGGCUUUGGUAUCAAGGUAAUGCUGGCCUCAUAAGUUGUCUCCCUUUAUCCAUGAGGGACAUCUUCCAAGGCCCCCAGUGGAUGUCUGAAACCGCAGCAUACUUUUGUCCAUAAAGCAAAAUCCGAAGAUUAGUGUUAAGAAACAGGAU